UCUCAAGGAAGGCAAGCAGGGCGCAAAUUACCCAAUCCCGAGACAGGGGAGGUAGUGACAAUAAAUAACAAUAUAGGGCUUUAGGUCUUUAUAAUGUGGAAUGAGUACAAUUUUAAAUCCCUUAAACGAGGAACAAUUGGGAGGGCAAAGGUCUGGUGCCAGAGCCG
RNAcentral lists this ribosomal RNA (167 nucleotides) under uncultured fungus. RNAcentral describes it as "partial 18S small subunit ribosomal RNA". It matches the Rfam family "Eukaryotic small subunit ribosomal RNA", at positions 415 to 576 of the family's 1831-position model. The record is from RNAcentral. Lineage: Eukaryota; Fungi.